CCUACGGGAGGCAGCAGUGGGGAAUAUUGGGCAAUGGGCGCAAGCCUGACCCAGCAACGCCGCGUGAAGGAAGAAGGCUUUCGGGUUGUAAACUUCUUUUGUCAGGGAAGAGUAGAAGACGGUACCUGACGAAUAAGCCACGGCUAACUACGUGCCAGCAGCCGCGGUAAUACGUAGGUGGCAAGCGUUGUCCGGAUUUACUGGGUGUAAAGGGCGUGUAGCCGGGUUGACAAGUCAGAUGUGAAAUCCUGCGGCUUAACCGCAGAACUGCAUUUGAAACUGUUGGUCUUGAGUACUGGAGAGGCAGGCGGAAUUCCUAGUGUAGCGGUGAAAUGCGUAGAUAUUAGGAGGAACACCAGUGGCGAAGGCGGUCUGCUGGACAGCAACUGACGGUGAGGCGCGAAAGCGUGGGGAGCAAACAGGAUUAGAUACCCCAGUAGUC
This 442-nucleotide ribosomal RNA is filed under the name uncultured bacterium. RNAcentral describes it as "partial 16S ribosomal RNA". It matches the Rfam family "Bacterial small subunit ribosomal RNA", at positions 338 to 795 of the family's 1533-position model. The record is from RNAcentral.